UACGUAGGGUGCGAGCGUUAAUCGGAAUUACUGGGCGUAAAGCGUGCGCAGGCGGUUAUGCAAGACAGAUGUGAAAUCCCCGGGCUCAACCUGGGAACUGCAUUUGUGACUGCAUGGCUGGAGUGCGGCAGAGGGGGAUGGAAUUCCGCGUGUAGCAGUGAAAUGCGUAGAUAUGCGGAGGAACACCGAUGGCGAAGGCAAUCCCCUGGGCCUGCACUGACGCUCAUGCACGAAAGCGUGGGGAGCAAGCAGG
RNAcentral lists this ribosomal RNA (253 nucleotides) under uncultured bacterium. RNAcentral's name for it is "partial 16S ribosomal RNA". It matches the Rfam family "Bacterial small subunit ribosomal RNA", at positions 524 to 776 of the family's 1533-position model. The record is from RNAcentral.